Molecule: ribosomal RNA, 480 nt
Filed under: Bacillus subtilis
Lineage: Bacteria; Bacillati; Bacillota; Bacilli; Caryophanales; Bacillaceae
Description: partial 16S ribosomal RNA
Rfam family: Bacterial small subunit ribosomal RNA
Source: RNAcentral
CGUAGGCGGUCUCUUAAGUCCGAUGUGAAAUGCGGGGCUUAACCCCGGAUGGCCAUUGAUACCGGAAAUAUUGAAUGGCAGAAAAGAAAGGGGAAUUUCCAUGGGUACCGUGAAAUGGCUUAAAUUUGGGGAGAACCCCCGUGGGCAAAGGCCCUUUCUUGGCUGGGUCUGAACCUUAAAGGUCAAAACCAUGGGAAGCAAACGGGUUUAAUUCCCCUGGAAUCCCGGCCCUUAACCAAGGAUUCUUAGUGGUUGAGGGAUCUACCCCCUUCGUGGCUGAGUUAAACCCAUUAAUACCCCCCCCGGGGAAUUCCAUCCGCAGAUUUGAACUUCAAAGAAUUUGACGGGGGCCCCCCCAACCGGGGAAUCAUGGGGUUUAUUUCACACCACCCCGAAAAACCUUACCAGGUCUUGACUUCCUUUGAACACCCUAAAAAUGGACCCCUUCCUUCGGGGCACAAAAACCAGGGGGUGCAGGGU